This 496-nucleotide ribosomal RNA is filed under the name uncultured bacterium. RNAcentral's name for it is "partial 16S ribosomal RNA". It matches the Rfam family "Bacterial small subunit ribosomal RNA", at positions 28 to 506 of the family's 1533-position model. The record is from RNAcentral.
GAUGAACGCUGGCGGCGUGCCUAAUACAUGCAAGUCGAGCGAACAGACGAGGAGCUUGCUCCUUUGACGUUAGCGGCGGACGGGUGAGUAACACGUAGAUAACCUACCUAUAAGACUGGGAUAACUUCGGGAAACCGGAGCUAAUACCGGAUAAUAUUUUGAACCGCAUGGUUCGAUAGUGAAAGAUGGCUUUGCUAUCACUUAUAGAUGGACCUGCGCGUUAUUAGCUAGUUGGUAAGUUACCGGCUUACCAAGGCAACGAUACGUAGCCGACCUGGGAGGGGGAUCGCCCACAGAGGAACUGAGCGACGGCCCAGACUCCUAGGGGAGGCAGAAGAAGGGAAUCUUCGGAAAUGGGGGAAACCCUGACGAAGAAACGCAGGGUGGGUGAUGAAGGUCUGCGGAUGGUAAAACGCUGUUAUGGGGGAAAAACAAACGUGUAAGUAACUGUGCAAGUCUGAACGUAACCGAAUCAGAAGGCCCGGCCUACCUACGG